Molecule: ribosomal RNA, 1776 nt
Filed under: Triticum aestivum (bread wheat)
Lineage: Eukaryota; Viridiplantae; Streptophyta; Magnoliopsida; Poales; Poaceae
Description: partial small subunit ribosomal RNA
Source: RNAcentral
AUGGCGGGACGUAGCAGGGCGCCUGCAUUUCUCCUCCUGGGGCUCUUCCUCGGCCUCGCCGGAUCCAGCCCGCCGCCGGAGCCGGUGGAGUGCGCCCGCGGCACGUCCGACUGCACCGUCACCAACGUGUACGGCUCCUUCCCGGACCGCACCAUCUGCCGCGCGGCCAACGCCACGUUCCCGCGCACCGAGAAGGAGCUCGUGGCCGCCGUGGCUGCCGCCGCCGCGUCCAAGCGCAAGGUUAAGGUGGCCACCAGGCACUCCCACAGCUUCACCAAGCUGGCCUGCCCCGGCGGCCGCGACGGCACGAUCAUCAGCACGGAGCGGCUCAACAAGACGGUGAGCGUCGACGCUGCCAAGGGGCUCAUGACGGUGGAGAGCGGCAUGGUGCUCAAGGACCUGAUCCAGGCGGCCGCCGCGGCGGGGCUCGCGCUGCCGCACUCGCCCUACUGGUACGGACUCACCAUCGGGGGCCUCCUCGCCACGGGUGCCCACGGCAGCUCGCUGUGGGGCAAGGGCAGCGCCGUGCACGAGUACGUGGUAGGGAUGAGGAUCGUCACGCCCGCACCGGCCAGCCAGGGCUUUGCCGUGGUCAGGGAGCUCAGCGUCGGGGACCCCGACCUCGACGCGGUCAAGGUUUCCCUCGGCGUCCUCGGCGUCGUCUCCCAGGUUACGCUAGCCUUGCAGCCGAUGUUCAAGCGGUCGGUGACGUUUGAGAAGCGCGACGACACGGACUUUGCAUCGCAGGCGGCCAUGUGGGGAGGACUGCACGAGUUCGGCGACAUGGCGUGGCUGCCGCGGCAAGGCAAGGUGAUCUACCGCAAGGACGAUCGCGUACCCGUCUCAACCAAGGGCAACGGCCUCAACGACUAUCUCGGCUUUCGAUCCAAUCCUACGCUCGCGCUCAUCACCGCCAGAGCCACGGAGGAGCACCUGGAGGAGGACGGCGGCGACAUCGCCAGGUGCCUGGCGGCGCGGGCGCCGUCCGUGCUGUUCGAGCUGCAGGCCUACGGCUUCACCAACGACGGCUCAUUCUUCACAGGGUGGCCGGUGGUGGGGUUCCAGAACCGCAUCCAGGCGUCCGGCACGUGCAUCAGCAGCCCGGAGGACGGCCUCCUCUCCUCCUGCACGUGGGACCCACGCAUCCGGAGCCCCUUCUUCUACAACUCCGGCUUCAGCGUGGCGCUCUCGAAGGCGCCGGCGUUCAUUGCCGACAUGCAGAAGCUCCGCGACCUCAAGCCACGCGCCUUCUGCGGCCUCGACGCCAAGCUCGGCGUGCUCCUCCGCUACGUCAGGGCCUCUUCCGCUUACCUCGGGAAAUCUGAGGACUCGAUCGACUUCGACGUCACCUACUACCGGAGCUACACUGAAGGCGAGCCGCGCGCAAACUCCGACGUGGUCGACGAGAUCGAGCAGCUGGCGCUGCGCAAGUACGGCGCCGUCCCACACUGGGGCAAGAACCGCAACUUUGUCUUCGACGGCGUCAUCGCCAAGUACCCCAAGGCCGCUGAGUUCCUCAAGGUGAAGGCCAGGUACGACCCCGACGGGAUCUUCUCCAGCGAGUGGAGCGACCAGGUGCUCGGCAUCAAAGGGAGCCCCAACAUCGUCGAGAAAGGCUGCGCCAUUGAAGGGCUCUGCGUCUGCUCCAAGGACUCGCACUGCGCGCCAGAGAAGGGCUACUUCUGCCGGCCGGGAACGAUGUUCUCGGAGGCGAGGGUCUGCUCGACCCGGGCCGCUUUCGGCGACGAAAGCGACGACCUUCUAGACGAACAGUGA